UCCUGCAUAGCUCAGUAGGUAAAGAAUCUGCCUGCAAUGCAGGAGACCUGGGUUCGAUUCCUGGGUUGGGAA
This 72-nucleotide transfer RNA is filed under the name Capra hircus (goat). It matches the Rfam family "tRNA". Rfam says of the family: Transfer RNA (tRNA) molecules are approximately 80 nucleotides in length. RNAcentral also lists the same sequence under 1 other name. The record is from Rfam by way of RNAcentral. Lineage: Eukaryota; Metazoa; Chordata; Mammalia; Artiodactyla; Bovidae.